AAAAGAAAAUUUUAAUGGUGAAAUAUUUUGGCAGCACCAAACAAACCAACCAAUUAAACAAAUUUCAAUGUAAGCAGAUUUUAGUCUAAUUAUUUGUGUUUCUGGAUCCCAACCAGAAAGACCAGAACAACAAAUAUUAUGCAAUACUACAUGAUAUCAUCAUGAUCCAUGAUUCUUCCUUAUUCAAACCCUGUGGGCCAUAUCUCUCACCUGAACACCUCUCAUGCCCCCCUCUCAACCAACGGCUCUGAUCCCACCUUCCAUCUUCAUCAAUCACCCCCUCUGAUGCUUUUUUUUGACAAAUCAAUUUGAUUCUUUUUUACAAAUUUUAUCAAAGUAGGGCCCUACAUUCCCCAAAAGAAUCUAACAUCUACCAUGGGAGUACCACGAGAGAUAGAAGAGAAUGGUGUCGCUUUCUCAACCUUUUGUACUAAAACAAAACUCUUUCUUGUUUGAUGCGCAUCGUGCUGUGUAUGUUUCACGCUCGUUUGAUCGUAUUACGAGGCCUUGAAGCGUGAUGGUGACGCGUGGUGGACCUUAAUCUUUGUGUAUGAAACUAGAUGAUGUGGCUUAGUGAAUAUCAUAUAAAAUCAGCUUUGUGAUAUCAAUUAUUGAUUUUGGCAUAUUCUCUCCAUGGAUCAUUAGCGAGUUGAAAUAGAGAUGUUUUAUGGUGCAUUUCGAAAAUUAUUUGUUUUUGUGCAAAGAUGGGAAUUUCUAAAUUUCAAUAUAUGUAUUUUCCUCACAUAUUCCUAUUAAUAAAUCAAAUUAGGCCCAUAACUUGAAUGAAUCUUUAUCCUUCAUAUUUUUGUAAAUCAGGUGAUGGAUAUGUAAUGAUUCAUCAUGUCGUUGAUUCUAC
RNAcentral lists this long non-coding RNA (856 nucleotides) under Gossypium barbadense (sea-island cotton). RNAcentral describes it as "long non-coding RNA (GBAR_LNC007628)". Lineage: Eukaryota; Viridiplantae; Streptophyta; Magnoliopsida; Malvales; Malvaceae. The record is from RNAcentral.